This 1239-nucleotide ribosomal RNA is filed under the name metagenome. RNAcentral describes it as "SSU rRNA". It matches the Rfam family "Eukaryotic small subunit ribosomal RNA", at positions 1 to 1206 of the family's 1831-position model. The record is from RNAcentral.
UCUGGUUGAUCCUGCCAGUAGUGAUAUGCUUGUUUCAAAGAUUAAGCCAUGCAUGUCUAAGUAUAAGCGAACUUAUACAGUGAAACUGCGGAUGGCUCAUUAAAACAGUUUGAAUUUAUUUGAUGAAUGUAUGAGAAUACUACUUGGAUAACCGUAGUAAUUCUAGAGCUAAUACAUGCAACGACGCCCGACCGUUUCACUACGGAAGGGCUGUAUUUAUUGGAUACCAAAACCAUCCUUCCCUCGGGAAGUUUUGUUUGAUGAUUCACAAUAACUGAUCGGAUCGCCACUGUGGUGGCGACAGGUCAUUCAACAUUCUGCCCUAUCAGCUUUCGAUGGUUGUGUAGUGGACAACCAUGGCCAUAACGGGUAACGGAGAAUCAGGGUUCGAUUCCGGAGAAGGAGCUUGAGAAUUGGCUACUACAUCUAAGGAAGGCAGCUGGCGCGCAAAUUACCCAAUCCCGAUUCGGGGAGGUAGUGACAAAAAAUAACAAUACCGGGCCUUUUUGGGCUUGGUAAUUGGAAUGAGGGAGAGUUAAACGGACCAUCGAGUAUCCAUUGGAGGGCAAGUCUGGUGCCAGCAGCUGCGGUAAUACCAGCUCCAAUAGCGUAUAUUAAAGUUGUUGCAGUUAAAAAGCUCGUAGUUGGACUUGUGUGCGCUGUCCGCGGGUGGCCUGCGCCCAAAAGGGCGUUUCGGUUCGGCCCCGGUGGCGCCUUGAAAUCUGCAGCUGGGGGGACGUUGGCCUUAACUGGUCGGCGACCGCACGCCGGCUGCUCGGUUACUGUGAGAAAAUUAGAGUGUUCAAGGCAGGCAUUGGGUGCAAUUGAAUACAUUAGCAUGGAAUAAUAAAAUAUGGCUCCUGCCGUAUUUUGUUGGUUUUGACUGGUGGGAGUAAUGAUUGAUAGGGACGGUUGGGGGUGCUAGUAUUGAGCGGCCAGAGGUGAAAUUCAUGGAUUCGCUCAAGACUAACUUAUGCGAAAGCAUUCACCAAGGACGUCCUCUUUAAUCAAGAACGAAAGUUGGGGGAUCGGAGACGAUCAGAUACCGUCGUAGUCUCAACCAUAAACUAUGUCGACUUGGGAUCGGCGGUAGUUUUUUCAUUAAGACACUGUCGGGACCACGGGAGAAAUCAAAGUGUCUGGACUCUGGGGGAAGUAUGGUCGCAAGGCUGAAACUUGAAGGAAUUGACGGAAGGGCACCAUCAGGAGUGGAGCCUGCGGCUUAAUUUGACCCAACAC